CCCUUAGAUGUUCUGGGCUGCACGUGCGCUACACUGAUGCAUUCAACGAGCUUUCGAUCUUGCCCGAGAGGGUUGGAUAAUCUUUUUAAAGUGCAUCGUGAUGGGGAUAGAUUAUUGCAAUUAUUAAUCUUCAACGAGGAAUUCCUAGUAAGCGCGAGUCAUCAGCUCGUGCUGAUUACGUCCCUGCCCUUUGUACACACCGCCCGUCGCUCCUACCGAUUGGGUGUGCUGGUGAAAUGUUCGGAUCGGCCGUUUGUCGCGGUUUCCGCGUCAUGUGGCUGAGAAGUUCAUUAAACCCUCCCACCUAGAGGAAGGAGAAGUCGUAACA
Molecule: ribosomal RNA, 328 nt
Filed under: uncultured eukaryote
Lineage: Eukaryota
Description: partial 18S ribosomal RNA
Rfam family: Eukaryotic small subunit ribosomal RNA
Source: RNAcentral